This 468-nucleotide ribosomal RNA is filed under the name uncultured bacterium. Its description in RNAcentral is "partial 16S ribosomal RNA". It matches the Rfam family "Bacterial small subunit ribosomal RNA", at positions 28 to 507 of the family's 1533-position model. The record is from RNAcentral.
GACGAACGCUGGCGGCGUGCUUAACACAUGCAAGUCGAACGGAAAGGCCCUGCUUUUGUGGGGUGCUCGAGUGGCGAACGGGUGAGUAACACGUGAGUAACCUGCCCUUGACUUUGGGAUAACUUCAGGAAACUGGGGCUAAUACCGGAUAGGAGCUCCUGCUGCAUGGUGGGGGUUGGAAAGUUUCGGCGGUUGGGGAUGGACUCGCGGCUUAUCAGCUUGUUGGUGGGGUAGUGGCUUACCAAGGCUUUGACGGGUAGCCGGCCUGUGAGGGUGACCGGCCACAUUGGGACUGAGAUACGGCGCAGACGCCUACGGGAGGCAGCAGUGGGGAAUAUUGCACAAUGGGCGGAAGCGUGAUGCAGCAACGCCGCGUGCGGGAUGACGGCCUGCGGGUUGUAAACCGCUUUCGGCUGUGACGAAGCGUGAAUGACGGUAAUGGGUAAAGAAGCACCGGCUAACUACGUG